Molecule: non-coding RNA, 112 nt
Organism: Acanthosepion pharaonis
Lineage: Eukaryota; Metazoa; Mollusca; Cephalopoda; Sepiida; Sepiidae
Source: the annotation of a GenBank genome assembly
UACGGCCAUAUCGUAUUGAAACACCGGUUCUCGUUCGAACACCGAAGUUAAGCAACGUUGAGUUUGGUCAGUUCCUUGAUGGGUGAUCGCUUGUAAAAUAGAAGGUGUUGUA